GAUAUUGGGACCCCGGCCCUGGAAACCAGCCCUCGAGUGGCUCUCCCUCCUCUGAGAACAAGAUAAUUUAUCUCCCACUUUGAAUCUGUGGUCCCACCCCUCCCGUCUCCCGUCUAGACUUCCGAGCGCUGGCCUUCGCCGCCCCCACCCUGCUCCCCCUCCCUCAGCCCCCAAGUGUCACUUUGUCCUUCACAACUAAGAUGUGGACUUGUGAUUCGUCCAGCUGACGGAGACGGGGGUCGGGGGACACCCUGAAACGGCAAAGCGUCCUUCUGCCGUCACUCCUCACCCCCCAACCCGGGACGCUCCCGAGUCCGGAGACAGGGGCAGCACCCCCUCUUUGCUGCCUUCCAGGGAGAGCAGCGGGAGAAAGAAAGAGCGAGGCGAGAGGAAUUCCUGAAUGGACGGACCGAUGCUACGUCACCGUCACCGGGCCGCACCCCCGCGCCACGGGAGGCUGGGAGCCUCGAGAGAGGCAGUCGGGCGGGCGGCAGGGGCCACCGAGCCGCCUCUCCUCCUCCCAGAAGCGCCGGGGCUGGGCGUCCGGAAGCAGCGGCCUCGGUCCGGGUCCGGUGUCACCGUCAUCGUGGGCGACCACCUUGGCUUUUAGGGGUCUCCAAAGGAGGACGGGAGGCCUGAGGAAGCUGGCGGGUGGAGGGCUUACACCCUGCGGAACAAGGAUCUCCGGGGAGAGGGGACGGAGGCCGGGAGGGACGUGGGGCUUCUCACCUGGGGCGGGUGGGUGCUCGCCACCCUCCCGCCCGCUUUCCUCCAUUCCUGGGCCAGAGCCGCGUCCAGCACCACGGACAGCUCCCGGGCGAUCCCAAGAGAGUGGAAGAGUCAUGCCCAAGGUCACUCAGCUGGGUGGUGGAAAUGCCAAGAGGCAGCCUCCUCAAGUCCAGCCCGGCCCUGCCCACUGUGUCUGAUGUGUCCUGUAGGAACCUCCCUGCCUGACUCGCCCUGGCGGUCUGGCUUCCCUCGUCUCGGCCCUUGUGAAGCUACACCCUGGAGACCACCCACGGCCCCGCCAAGGGCCCGCCGCCCACCCCCACCUCAGGCCAGGAGACCUCUGCAGCGCAGCCCCCGCUGGCCCCGGUCCUGCCUCCUCCUGUUACAUCCUCGCUCAUGCGUCCUGGGUUCUGGUCAUUCAGUCUUCCAGGUCUUCAUUUGUGAGUGCUCCCCAGGGCUCCACGGUCCUGCUACGUUUAUCGCGUCAGCCAUCGUGGGCUCUAGACUUCUAGAAACCUGCCCGCUUCAUAGGUUCUGGCCUCUCUGAACUCCAGAUCUGUCCCCUCACUGCUCUGUGUGUGCUCCUGCCCUUAGCUCCUGGGGCAGAGGCUGGAGAGGUGCCCCUGCUUGGGUUCCACCCAGGCCUCGACCAGUGCUCGAGGGCUGGGAGCACUCCUGUGCUUUUGGCUUCCCUGGUGGCGAAGAAGCCAGCCUCCCUCCCAAACCGCAAGGUGGCCACUCCCCAGACGCGGUCCAGGGUCCCGGUGCUCGCUGGCUCAGCAUGUGCUCCCGCCUCCCCCCUCCACCUGCGGUGUCACCAAACUGCUAGGCCCUCGGGUCCCUCCCCCUCCACAUCACCCACGUGAGCACCAUCCCUUCCUCCCAGGCAGCGCCUCUCGCACCCACGCCUUCCUUUCGCUUGGCCCCUGCCUCCGUGGCUCAUUCCGUCAACAGGCGUGUGCCGAGUGCCGCUGGGUGAAGGCGGAGGUGGGGUUCGGGGCCCGCUCUGCGGAACCAGCAGUCUGGCAGGGAGGGCGGACAGGCACCACGGGACACCGGGAGGACCGUUGUCCUGAAGACCUGAGCCAGGCUCCGGGGAGCAUGGGGCCGGGGCAGGCAGGGAGGACCUCCUGGAGGGGCCGAGGGGCAAGUGGUGACAGGUGAGCAGGAGGUCGUCAAGUCCAAGGUGUGAGGGAGCGGGCGGUGGUGAGGGGCCAGCUGAUGUGAGGGGAGGGAGGAAAGAGCAGGCUGGGCUGGGGACGGAGCUGUCGUCACAGGGACUCUGGGCUGGGAGGAGAUGGGGCACGGAGGCUGAAGUGGGUUACCGAGGGAGCCUCAUGUGCCCCAGCAGGGGGGCUGGACUUGCAGGGUGCUUAGCUGACAGCCUCAGAGAUGCCGUGUAUGGGGGGGGGGGGGGUUGGACGGCGAGCAGCACACAGCCCCUCCCAGGAGGGACAAGGACACGGCAUCCAGCUGCCUGCUUAGCCCAGUGCCCAGCCGGACGUUUCAUUGGCUCCUGCUUAGUUCUGCAAAUGAGGGAGCAGAGGCCUGGGAGCCCCCCAGGAAGAGUCUCUGCCCCUCCCCCAGACUCACCCCACCGUCCACAUGCGUGCCCCCGCUUACACAGGGGGUAGGCCAGUGGGGGCUUCCUGGGAGAAGCACGGGUGCCCCGGGGGCAGCACAGGAGAUGGGCCGCUGGGGACUGAAGAGCAGAGAGGGGGCUCGGCCCUGGAAAGUCCCUGGGAGACGGGGUGCGGGAAGGGGUGCGGGCUAUCAGGCGGGGAGAUCCUUCCUGGAGAAGGUGGCGGAAGGCUGGAGAGGCAUCUGAGGAGCUGCUGUGGCCACCGGGGGGAGGGGGAGAGGGAAGUGGGGGGGCCGGCCCCCGCCCCUCCCCCAGGCCCAGCCUUUGCACAAAGGCUUCUCUGUGAGUGGCCACGGAAGUGGCCUUGUCAGGUGAGGGGGCUUAGCUCCCGGGGCCAAGGGGUGGGUGGAAGGGGAUUGGAGGAGGGGAGGGCUGAGGGGUAGCCUCAGGCUUUAACCAGAUCUGGGAAGGAAAUGGAGAAGCUGACACCUAGCCAGAGCCUCACAGUGAGGCCAGUGAGGCCCUGUCCGAACCUUCCCAGGACAGGCUCCUCUCCACGGUCCUGUCAGGCCCCGCGGGCCCCCAGCAGCAGGGUCCUGCUGCCCGCCUCCUUCCUUGCUGUAACUCCCUCCACCCCGGCCCCUCUAGCCUCCCUUCCUGCCCUUUCACGGGGCUCCCCAGCUCCUGCAUGGGGCUCCCUCGCUCGCUCGGGGAGGGCUGUGUUGGGAAGGUAGAAAGAAGCCAGGGCCCAAAAAGAGGCGCGAGGCUGCCUUAGACUCCACACCCAGUCUUGUCCUCCCCCGGGAAGGUGUCUCUCGUUGCCUGACCUGAGUGCCGCCUGCUGUCAACCAGCGUGUGGAUAGACCCCUGCCCCACCCCCAACGCCUUGUUGCGCACACUGUUCCUUGUAAUAAGUGUGUGGCUUUGGGCCCCCGGAGCAGCAGAAUGGCAGCGGGCACCUCGUCGGGCUGCAGGCUGCUCACAGGUUGGAUAGCAGGGCUCCAUCCACAGGACGGACAACAGAAGGAGGUUUUGGUUGUCGACUCUGAAUCAGACAGGCCGGUCAGGAGACCCUGGCUUCCCUCCCUUGCUAGCUAGGUGACCUUAGGCAAGUCACUUACUGUCUUUGGACCCUAACUUCCUUCCACGGUUACUCCGAGGGAUCAGCUGGGUCGGUGUGAAUGAGGCCCGCAUCUCGUCCUUCUCCAGAGGGAGCGCUAGCCGGACAUCGUGACGCUCCAGCGAAUGAGCCCAACGUGGUCCCUCCAAGCCCUGCCGCCCAGCCCAGGACUCUCUCAAGUCCCCGAUGAUCUUAUGCUCCUCAGCAUUGUCAGGAGAAACACCACGAUCUUCCUUAUUCUGUCUUGCAAGGUCCUUGCCAGUGUCUAACUGAGACCUGUUCUGCUGAAGUACCAGUUCUCUGACCCUGGGCUUGACCUGGCUAAUUUGAGAGGUGUCGAGGCUCCUCGGUCUCCCCCACCCCAGGAAGGAAGGGGUGACCUCGAUUCCACACCCGCUUGCUCACGCGAGCAAGCCGUCUUCUCUGUCAACCUGCUGCCAGGCCUGGGCUUCUGUCCCCCACUUGGCAAAGCUGCAGUCAGGGCCCCACGAAGGAUGUGUGGGUCACCCCGCGUCACGGGGCUGACCGAAAAGAAGGACUUAUUGCACCCAGCUGGCAUGGGUUCCCUCUGAGAAGCCCUCCUGGAUUGAUCGAAGUGGCAAGACCCCAGCUCCAUCCUGGGCUGCCCGUUACACCCGGAGCCACCCGGGAGAGGACUUCGUCCCACCCUUGCUCCCGCGGCCACCGCUGUCCACCCCGGUCCAUCCCAGUUCCUGUGGCGUCUGAGCUGAGAGUCCUCUGAGAUGGCGGUCCCGUCUCAGUUCUAAUAAAGACUCCUGAAUGUUGAACCA
Herpailurus yagouaroundi (jaguarundi) is the source of this 4222-nucleotide RNA transcript. RefSeq lists it as uncharacterized. Lineage: Eukaryota; Metazoa; Chordata; Mammalia; Carnivora; Felidae. The record is from RefSeq and is a predicted model, not a curated record. The transcript is spliced from 11 exons.